Molecule: unclassified non-coding RNA, 342 nt
Filed under: soil metagenome
Description: partial contains 5.8S ribosomal RNA, internal transcribed spacer 2, and large subunit ribosomal RNA
Rfam family: 5.8S ribosomal RNA (bases 1-120)
Source: RNAcentral
GAUGAAGAACGUAGCGAAAUGCGAUAAGUAAUGUGAAUUGCAGAAUUCAGUGAAUCAUCGAAUCUUUGAACGCACAUUGCGCCCGCCAGCACUCUGGCGGGCAUGCCUGUUCGAGCGUCAUUUCAACCAUCAAGCCCCCAGGGGCUUGUGCUGGGGCCCUGCGGCUGCCCGCAGGCCCUGAAAACCAGUGGCGGGCUCGCUAGUCACACCGAGCGCAGUAGCACAUCUCGCUCAGGGCGUGCGGCGGGCUCCUGCCGUGAAACCCCCCACUGUAACCCCAAAGGUUGACCUCGGAUCAGGUAGGGAUACCCGCUGAACUUAAGCAUAUCAAUAAGCGGAGGA